AAUUGAAAAAGGCAAAUUCAUCGAAAGGUGGAGACGCAAAGCUAAAGGGACUAAAGUCAGAUGACCAUGUCAGCCAGUUACCGAU
Molecule: non-coding RNA, 85 nt
Filed under: Heyndrickxia coagulans
Lineage: Bacteria; Bacillati; Bacillota; Bacilli; Caryophanales; Bacillaceae
Also listed under: 1 other name
Description: Bacillus coagulans c-di-GMP sequence
Rfam family: c-di-GMP-I riboswitch aptamer
About the family: GEMM was predicted in a large-scale screen for bacterial structured RNA regulatory elements. Genes associated with GEMM are involved in a diverse array of functions, including chemotaxis regulation, signal transduction, secretion and chitin.
Source: RNAcentral